This 965-nucleotide ribosomal RNA is filed under the name Vibrio vulnificus. RNAcentral describes it as "partial 23S ribosomal RNA". It matches the Rfam family "Bacterial large subunit ribosomal RNA", at positions 552 to 1526 of the family's 2925-position model. Lineage: Bacteria; Pseudomonadati; Pseudomonadota; Gammaproteobacteria; Vibrionales; Vibrionaceae. The record is from RNAcentral.
GAAACCGUGUACGUACAAGCAGUAGGAGCACCUUCGUGGUGUGACUGCGUACCUUUUGUAUAAUGGGUCAGCGACUUAUAUUCAGUGGCAAGGUUAACCAUCUAGGGGAGCCGUAGGGAAACCGAGUCUUAACUGGGCGCCAUAGUCUCUGGAUAUAGACCCGAAACCGAGUGAUCUAGCCAUGGGCAGGUUGAAGGUUGAGUAACAUCAACUGGAGGACCGAACCGACUAAUGUUGAAAAAUUAGCGGAUGACUUGUGGCUAGGGGUGAAAGGCCAAUCAAACUCGGAGAUAGCUGGUUCUCCCCGAAAGCUAUUUAGGUAGCGCCUCGGACGAAUACUACUGGGGGUAGAGCACUGUUAAGGCUAGGGGGUCAUCCCGACUUACCAACCCUUUGCAAACUCCGAAUACCAGUAAGUACUAUCCGGGAGACACACGGCGGGUGCUAACGUCCGUCGUGGAGAGGGAAACAACCCAGACCGCCAGCUAAGGUCCCAAAUUACAGCUAAGUGGGAAACGAUGUGGGAAGGCUUAGACAGCUAGGAUGUUGGCUUAGAAGCAGCCAUCAUUUAAAGAAAGCGUAAUAGCUCACUAGUCGAGUCGGCCUGCGCGGAAGAUGUAACGGGGCUAAGUUGUAAACCGAAGCUGCGGCAAUGUUCUUUGAACAUUGGGUAGGGGAGCGUUCUGUAAGCCGUUGAAGGUGUGUUGUAAAGCAUGCUGGAGGUAUCAGAAGUGCGAAUGCUGACAUGAGUAACGACAAGGGGGGUGAAAAACCUCCCCGCCGGAAGACCAAGGGUUCCUGUCCAACGUUAAUCGGGGCAGGGUAAGUCGACCCCUAAGGCGAGGCUGAAAAGCGUAGUCGAUGGGAAACGGGUUAAUAUUCCCGUACUUCUUACAAUUGCGAUGGGGGGACGGAGAAGGCUAGGUGGGCCUGGCGACGGUUGUCCAGGUUCAAGUGCGUAGGCU